UUUAGAACCCGAGAUAUGGACUGAACACUGAACAUUGUUUGGGUUGCAAGACAGAUUCAGACUUCUUUUUUUAUGCUAAGAUUUGGACUCCAAAACGGCAGAAUUGAGUCUUGGACUCCUCAUGAAUGUUUUAGGCCUAUGUCUUAGCUUUCUAUU
Populus trichocarpa (black cottonwood) is the source of this 156-nucleotide non-coding RNA. NCBI's taxonomy places the organism in Eukaryota, Viridiplantae, Streptophyta, Magnoliopsida, Malpighiales, Salicaceae. The record is from Rfam.